RNAcentral lists this ribosomal RNA (253 nucleotides) under uncultured bacterium. RNAcentral describes it as "partial 16S ribosomal RNA". It matches the Rfam family "Bacterial small subunit ribosomal RNA", at positions 524 to 776 of the family's 1533-position model. The record is from RNAcentral.
UACAGAGGUCCCAAGCGUUGUUCGGAUUCACUGGGCGUAAAGGGUGCGUAGGUGGUGAGGUAAGUCGGAUGUGAAAUCUCCGGGCUCAACCCGGAAAUGGCAUUGGAAACUACCUUGCUUGAGGAUUUGAGGGGGGAUUGGAAUACUUGGUGUAGCAGUGAAAUGCGUAGAUAUCAAGUGGAACACCAGUGGCGAAGGCGAAUCCCUGGAAAAUACCUGACGCUGAGGCACGAAAGCCAGGGGAGCAAACGGG